GGGUUUGGAGAGAUGGCUCAGAGAUUAAGAGCACUAACUGUUCUUCCAGAGGACCUGAGUUCAAUUCCCAGCAACCACAUGGUGGCUCACGACCACCUAUAGUGAAAUCUGAUUCAAUCUUCUGGCAUAAAGUCAUACAUGCAGAUAGAAUACUCAUGUACAUGAAAUAAAUAAAAUA
This is a non-coding RNA of Peromyscus maniculatus bairdii (prairie deer mouse), 178 nucleotides long. NCBI's taxonomy places the organism in Eukaryota, Metazoa, Chordata, Mammalia, Rodentia, Cricetidae. The record is from RefSeq and is a predicted model, not a curated record.